This 484-nucleotide ribosomal RNA is filed under the name uncultured bacterium. RNAcentral's name for it is "partial 16S ribosomal RNA". It matches the Rfam family "Bacterial small subunit ribosomal RNA", at positions 30 to 507 of the family's 1533-position model. The record is from RNAcentral.
AUUGAACGCUGGCGGCAGGCCUAACACAUGCAAGUCGAGCGGAUGAAGGGAGCUUGCUCCUGGAUUCAGCGGCGGACGGGUGAGUAAUGCCUAGGAAUCUGCCUGGUAGUGGGGGAUAACGUCCGGAAACGGGCGCUAAUACCGCAUACGUCCUGAGGGAGAAAGUGGGGGAUCUUCGGACCUCACGCUAUCAGAUGAGCCUAGGUCGGAUUAGCUAGUUGGUGGGGUAAAGGCCUACCAAGGCGACGAUCCGUAACCGGUCUGAGAGGAUGAUCAGUCAAACGUGGACUGAGACACGGGCCAGACUCCUACGGGAAGCCACAGUUGGGAAUAUUGGACAAUUGGGGAAAGGCUGAUCCAGCCAAGCCGCGUGGGUGAAGAAGGUCUUCCGAUUGGAAAGCACUUUAAGUUGGGAGGAAGGGCAGUAAGUUAAUACCUUGCUGUUUUGACGUUACCAACAGAAUAAGCACCGGCUAACUUCGUG